This 799-nucleotide ribosomal RNA is filed under the name Lactobacillus sp. 14.2.13. RNAcentral describes it as "bacterial SSU rRNA". It matches the Rfam family "Bacterial small subunit ribosomal RNA", at positions 56 to 820 of the family's 1533-position model. The record is from RNAcentral. Lineage: Bacteria; Bacillati; Bacillota; Bacilli; Lactobacillales; Lactobacillaceae.
UGCAAGUCGAACGAGCUUCCGUUGAAUGACGUGCUUGCACUGAUUUCAACAAUGAAGCGAGUGGCGAACUGGUGAGUAACACGUGGGGAAUCUGCCCAGAAGCAGGGGAUAACACUUGGAAACAGGUGCUAAUACCGUAUAACAACAAAAUCCGCAUGGAUUUUGUUUGAAAGGUGGCUUCGGCUAUCACUUCUGGAUGAUCCCGCGGCGUAUUAGUUAGUUGGUGAGGUAAAGGCCCACCAAGACGAUGAUACGUAGCCGACCUGAGAGGGUAAUCGGCCACAUUGGGACUGAGACACGGCCCAAACUCCUACGGGAGGCAGCAGUAGGGAAUCUUCCACAAUGGACGAAAGUCUGAUGGAGCAAUGCCGCGUGAGUGAAGAAGGGUUUCGGCUCGUAAAACUCUGUUGUUAAAGAAGAACACCUUUGAGAGUAACUGUUCAAGGGUUGACGGUAUUUAACCAGAAAGCCACGGCUAACUACGUGCCAGCAGCCGCGGUAAUACGUAGGUGGCAAGCGUUGUCCGGAUUUAUUGGGCGUAAAGCGAGCGCAGGCGGUUUUUUAAGUCUGAUGUGAAAGCCUUCGGCUUAACCGGAGAAGUGCAUCGGAAACUGGGAGACUUGAGUGCAGAAGAGGACAGUGGAACUCCAUGUGUAGCGGUGGAAUGCGUAGAUAUAUGGAAGAACACCAGUGGCGAAGGCGGCUGUCUAGUCUGUAACUGACGCUGAGGCUCGAAAGCAUGGGUAGCGAACAGGAUUAGAUACCCUGGUAGUCCAUGCCGUAAACGAUGAGUGCUAAG